Molecule: non-coding RNA, 89 nt
Filed under: uncultured Paracoccus sp.
Lineage: Bacteria; Pseudomonadati; Pseudomonadota; Alphaproteobacteria; Rhodobacterales; Paracoccaceae
Description: Rhodo-rpoB RNA
Rfam family: Rhodo-rpoB RNA
Source: RNAcentral
GUUCGGGAGCUGCGCGGUGGGACGCGAAGCACGAAUGGGACCCCACCCCUCAUUCGCCGCUCUGUGCCGGUCGGGCCCCGACGAUCGGU